CAACGAUAGUGGCAAUCAUUUAUUAAGCCCUGCCCUGGCCUAAGGCACCACAUGGGUCGUUUCUUCCAGGUUCCAACUCAAUUCUGCUUUGCCACAUGGUAACACAAUCCUAUCAUGGAAGCACCAUCAUUACCGCCAUCGCAGGGGAAGCCCAAAAAGAGAUUGUACCCUGCUCGCCCCUCCUGCUCCCACGUGACUGAGAGCUAAUGAUAAAUGCCAGCCAGCAUCCCUGUCUCUGGGGCCCUGGAGAGGCCUUCAACACACCUGGUCUCACUGCCCUGUGGCUUCAACAAAGAGGCUGAGCAUCUCCUAUAACCCUCGAGGUCCAUGAAUGACGUAGCAGAGUGAUGGAUUUCAGAAAAGGCAGGUGCUUCCCACUCUUUACAUUUUUUUUUUUUAUUCUUUCCAAGUUUCCCAUCAACAGCCCUGCAGUAAAAAUCCAGGGCUUCAGAGACAAACAUUUCAUGAGUACAGACUGUGAUGAGGAAAAGCAAGCCUUCCCUCUCUAUCUAUCAGGACCCUGGUGCUUUGCUCUUAAAAUGAAAAAAAAAAAAAAAAAAACAGUGAUAACGGUUGGCACAGGACUCAGGACUACAGGCCGUUUCCGUGUUGACUUCUUUUGGCAAAGAUACCCAGGACAGCCGUGUGAGGAGUUACUCCGGGUUUCGGCCCAUAGCCAGCUAGGAGAAAUGAGGUUCAAGGGGCAGAGGGUAAACUCCUCAGCAGAGACAGAACGGGGCAGGAGGAGGGCAGGAGGCGGGUGACUGUCAGAGAAAAUGCCUCCAUCCCAGAACAAGCAGAAACAGGCACACCCCUCUGAAACAGAAAAGUCAGAAAGCCUUGCAACAUAGAUGCAACUCAGGGACUUCCCCUUGCAGCCAGCAGCCAAGGCAGCUUCUAGGCACAGCGUGGCUGUAUUUAAGCCCAACUUGGUCCCUAACUUCUCUCCAAAGCUGGUCAAGGUGCCCCACCCGAAGCAUCCAGAUGACAGGCUCCUGCCUCCCCUCUUGCACGAAAUCAUUCCCGGAUGUAGAGCCUGGCUUCUUCUCUCUCCCCAUUAAAAAUCACCAGCGUUUCGCAAAUAAAGGCGAUCACCAUGUGAAAAAUUAUCUUUUAAAAUGGAGUUUAAUUUGCAUAUAAGGAACGAGAGAUUUAUGACAAGCAACAUCGUCCAGUACUGCAUCUGCCUAGUAUCAGUCGUAAUUUAGAUUGUUUGUGACUGAUCUUAAAUUCUAAAGCUUGGAGAAGAUGAAGUACUCUGUUGCUGUAUUAUUGUCAGGAGUCUAAGACUUACCAGAGAUUUAUUAGUAAUCUUAUCACAAACAUGUCUCAAGUUUUUGCUUUUAAUAUGUGCCAAGCUCCUCUGAGGAAUUUUCCUCACUGCAAUUAUAUUCCUCAAUGCCUGCAUUCUGAAGCUGAGUUGAUUUCCUUCCCAAAAUAAAGCGACCUAUCAUUACACCACAGCCGCUCUUGUACAUUUUUCCUCUGCUACUUAAUAAUCAAUGUAUUCAUCAUUAAAAUCUGAGCCCUGAAGCAAUGGUUUUUAGCAUAUUCUAAUGACUAGCGACUUGCAAAUUACAAUGACCUUUCAUGUACAUUCUGAAAGCACCUUGUUCUAAUGUGUACUGUAUUUAUAGUUUGCCAAUACAAACUAGCCAAAGAUUGGAUAAUUACUGUAAUCUAUUAGCUCGAUUGCUUUCCCUGCUCAUUUAUAGCAUGUGCCACGCAGGCCAUUUUCAAAAACUGGCCUAUCUUUCAUCUCCCGCAAGCUCAGAAAGUAAGGGAUACUUCAUCUUCACAAUAUACACACUUACUAAUGUCUGAAGAGCAGCCCCAUCUCAGCUCAAGGAGGUUUCAAAAAUAAAAAACCUUCUUUCCUAUUAGUGUCAUAAUGCUAUUUGUGACUGACAAAAAACACCGCUCCGAGAGUGUAAACUUUCGUUGAAGAAUGUCAAGGCCAGUCCCAUUUUCUGCCCAUUACUCUGACCUCCAAAUAGCAUUUAAUAAGAUCUGCUUUGAAAGAAAAAGAUAAAGGCACUUCCCUUAAACAAGAAACAAUUUUUUUGUUAUAAAUAAAUGUUUCAAGUGAAGAAUUAAACUUUUUCUUUUCUUCU
This is a non-coding RNA of Macaca mulatta (Rhesus monkey), 2114 nucleotides long. NCBI's taxonomy places the organism in Eukaryota, Metazoa, Chordata, Mammalia, Primates, Cercopithecidae. The record is from RefSeq and is a predicted model, not a curated record.